Molecule: ribosomal RNA, 460 nt
Filed under: uncultured bacterium
Lineage: Bacteria
Description: partial 16S ribosomal RNA
Rfam family: Bacterial small subunit ribosomal RNA
Source: RNAcentral
CCUACGGGUGGCAGCAGUGAGGAAUAUUGGUCAAUGGACGAGAGUCUGAACGAGCCACGCCGCGUGAGGGAUGACUGCCCUAUGGGUUGUAAACUUCUUUUAUAAAGGAGUAAAACGAGGCAAGUGUGCCUUUUUGCAUGUACUUUAUGAAUAAGGAUCGACUAACCUCGUUCCAUCAGCCGCGGUAAGACGGAGGCUGCGUGCGUUGUCCGGAUUUAUUGGGUUGAAAGGGAGCGUAGGUGGGUUGUUAAGUCAGUUGUGAAAGUUGGCGGCUCAACCGAAAAAUGGCAAUUGAUACUGGCAGUCUUGAGUACAGAUGAGGUAGGCGGAAUUCGAGGUGUAGCGGUGAAAUGCGUAGAUAUCACGAAGAACCCCGAUGGCGAAGGCGGCUUUCUGAACUGUGACUGACGCUGAGGCUCGAAAGCGUGGGGAGCAAACAGGAUUAGAUACCCUUGUAGUC